This is a long non-coding RNA of Cyprinus carpio carpio, 525 nucleotides long. Lineage: Eukaryota; Metazoa; Chordata; Actinopteri; Cypriniformes; Cyprinidae. The record is from Ensembl.
GAUGGAUGAACUUGUACCACCUCUGUGGCAGCUCCAUUUAACCAGUGCAAAGACUGGAUAUAACUUAUGCAGGCUGAAAACAACAGCAUUUGGAUUUGAACUUCCAUGAAGAUCGCAGUUUCCUGUCAUCUUCGGACGAGAGUGUCUGUGGAAGCAACAAUGGAAGGUUUCUGUACUUCUGCAGCGUUAAAGAUGCCCCGUCGCCACAGGAAGUCGAGCGUAGCUGGCAGCUGAAAUAAAUGAUGCCGCGGCUUACCUGUCGGGAGGAGUGAUUCGGCGCGUCGGACUGUUGCAUUCGGCACGGUGACAGGCAGGCCCAUCAUGCUCUAGUAAUGGGGUCAAACAGGGAGACGGGGAUUUGAUGCCCGGUGAGGCCACAGGGCUGCGCCCUCGUUGAGCAGUGCGAGCGGCCCGAUUGAGUCAGCCUGACCUGUUUAUUUCCGUGUUUUUCUGCUUCGCUGCAAACCAGUAAUGAUCGCCACACUAUUUGAUUGACAGGGGCUCUCUCCCCUCGCUCGCUCCUGG